CCUGGCUCAGGAUGAACGCUGGCGGCGUGCCUAACACAUGCAAGUCGAACGAAGCUCUCUGAAGUGAGAUUCGGUCAAGCUAAGGAGAAGACUUAGUGGCGGACGGGUGAGUAACGCGUGGGUAACCUGCCGUAUGCAGGGGGACAACAGUUGGAAACGACUGCUAAUACCGCAUAAGCGCACGGUUCUGCAUGGAGCAGUGUGAAAAGAUUUAUCGGCAUACGAUGGACCCGCGUCUGAUUAGCUAGUUGGUGAGGUAACGGCCCACCAAGGCAACGAUCAGUAGCCGGCCUGAGAGGGUGAACGGCCACAUUGGGACUGAGACACGGCCCAAACUCCUACGGGAGGCAGCAGUGGGGAAUAUUGCACAAUGGGGGAUACCCUGAUGCAGCGACGCCGCGUGAGUGAAGAAGUAUUUCGGUAUGUAAAGCUCUAUCAGCAGGGAAGAAAAUGACGGUACCUGACUAAGAAGCCCCGGCUAACUACGUGCCAGCCGCCGC
Molecule: ribosomal RNA, 500 nt
Filed under: uncultured bacterium
Lineage: Bacteria
Description: bacterial SSU rRNA
Rfam family: Bacterial small subunit ribosomal RNA
Source: RNAcentral